This 561-nucleotide ribosomal RNA is filed under the name Triticum aestivum (bread wheat). Its description in RNAcentral is "partial small subunit ribosomal RNA". The record is from RNAcentral. Lineage: Eukaryota; Viridiplantae; Streptophyta; Magnoliopsida; Poales; Poaceae.
GGCUCCCCUAAGCCGUCCUCGUCUCCGAUGCCGGUUAUGGACUUACGGAUGAGGCUGAUAAUCCAGGCAGCAGCACUGAUUAGUGUGAUUCAGGCAUGGGUCAUGUUGAUGCACCAGAGAGCUGUUCGUCGUGCUGGGAGACCUUUGAUCCACUAUGGUCCAUUGUUUCCCCGGGAACAAGAGAGGAUCCAAAAUCUGAACUACAUCUACAACUGCAAUGACGUCGAGGCUCUGUGGAUGCUUAGAAUGAAAAGAGCACCAUUUGCCAGGCUUGUCGAGACCUUCAGGAGCAGGGGGCUGCUACAAGAUAGCAUCAACACCAGUGUCGAAGAGCAAGUGGCCAUGUUCCUCCAUGUUGUUGGCCAUAACCAGAGGUUCAGGGUCAUUCACAACACGUUCAGGAGAUCAAUGGAGACCAUCUCUAGGUACUUCAAGCAAGUGCUUUAUGCUAUUGGGGAGCUUAGAGGAGAGAUGAUUAGGAGACCAUCUGGUCAGACUCCACCCAAGAUUCGCGGAAGCCCAAGAUGGUAUCCAUACUUCAAGGAUUGCAUUGGGGCAAUA